CAUACUUCUUGUCUUCAUUUUCUUAAACAGGAUAUUUUCUCGCAGAAAAAGAAAGGAUAAUAAAAGGUUUCCUUUCUCCAAACUUUUAAAGAACAAAUAAAGAAAUCCAAUUUCA
Long non-coding RNA from Astyanax mexicanus (Mexican tetra), 115 nucleotides. RefSeq lists it as uncharacterized. The record is from RefSeq and is a predicted model, not a curated record. The transcript is spliced from 2 exons. Lineage: Eukaryota; Metazoa; Chordata; Actinopteri; Characiformes; Acestrorhamphidae.